Molecule: ribosomal RNA, 506 nt
Filed under: uncultured bacterium
Lineage: Bacteria
Description: partial 16S ribosomal RNA
Rfam family: Bacterial small subunit ribosomal RNA
Source: RNAcentral
AUUGAACGCUGGCGGCAGACUUAACACAUGCAAGUUGAGCGGUAACAGAGAGAAGCUUGCUUCUCUGCUGACGAGCGGCGGCCGGGUGAGUAAUGCCUAGGAAUCUGGCUAGUAGUGGGGGAUAACUUGCCGAAAGGUAAGCUAAUACCGCCUACGUCCUACGGGAGAAAGGAGGGGACCUUCGGGCCUUUCGCUAUUAGAUGAGCCUAGGUCGGAUUAGUUAGUUGGUGAGGUAAUGGCUCACCAAGACCGCGAGCCGUAACUGGUCUGAGAGGAUGAUCAGUCACACUGGAACGGAGACACGGUCCAGACUCCUACGGGAGGCAGCAGUAGGGAAUAUUGGACAAUGGGGGGAACCCUGAUCCAGCCAUGCCGCGUGUGUGAAGAAGGUCUUAGGAUUGUAAAGCACUUUAAGUUGGGAGGAAGAGCAGUUAACUAAUAUUUGACUGUUUUGACGUUACCGACAGAAUAAGCACCGGCUAACUUCGUGCCAGCCGCCGCCGUAA